GAUGAACGCUGGCGGCGUGCCUAAUACAUGCAAGUCGAGCGAACAGACGAGGAGCUUUCUCCUUUGACGUUAGCGGCGGGCGGGUGAGUAACACGUAGGUAACCUACCUAUAAGACUGGGAUAACUUCGGGAAACCGGAGCUAAUACCGGAUAAUAUUUCGAACCGCAUGGUUCGAUAGUGAAAGAUGGCUUUGCUAACACUUAUAGAUGGACCUGCGCCGUGUUAGCUAGUUGGUAGGGUAACGGCUUACCAAGGCAACGAUACGUAGCCGACCUGAGAGGGGGACCGGCAACACGGGAACGGGCACAGGGCCCGGACUCCAAGGGGGGGAAGCAGUAGGAAAUUUGCCGCAAGGGGGGAAGGCCGGACGGGGCAACGCGGGGGGGGGGAGGAAGGCCUCCGGUUCGUAAAACUCUGUUAUUGGGGAGGAACAAAGGUGUAAGUAACUGUGCAGGUCUGGAGGGUACCAAAGCAGAAGGCCAGGGCAAAUUAGGU
RNAcentral lists this ribosomal RNA (496 nucleotides) under uncultured bacterium. RNAcentral describes it as "partial 16S ribosomal RNA". It matches the Rfam family "Bacterial small subunit ribosomal RNA", at positions 28 to 506 of the family's 1533-position model. The record is from RNAcentral.